Molecule: unclassified non-coding RNA, 163 nt
Filed under: uncultured Helotiales
Lineage: Eukaryota; Fungi; Ascomycota; Leotiomycetes; Helotiales
Description: sequence contains ITS1
Source: RNAcentral
CAGAGUUCAUGCCCUUCGGGGUAGACCUCCCACCCUGUUUAUAUACUAUUGUUGCUUUGGCAGGCUGCCCUCACCAUGGGGCGUCCGGGUUCCGCCCGCGUCUCGCCUGCCAAAAGCCCCCUAAUUCUGUGUUCUGUGUCGUCUGAGUACUAUAUAAUAGUUA